Molecule: ribosomal RNA, 461 nt
Filed under: Blastocystis sp.
Lineage: Eukaryota; Bigyra; Opalinata; Blastocystidae
Also listed under: 1 other name
Description: partial small subunit ribosomal RNA
Rfam family: Eukaryotic small subunit ribosomal RNA
Source: RNAcentral
CAAUAAAUCACAAUGCGGAACAAUGUUUUGCAAUUGGAUUGAGAACAACGUACAAACCUUAUCGAUAAACAAUUGGAGGGCAAGUCUGGUGCCAGCAGCCGCGGUAAUUCCAGCUCCAAUAGCGUAUAUUAACGUUGUUGCAGUUAAAAAGCUCGUAGUUGAAAUGAAGGGUAGUUGUGUAAUGAAUACAUUCGUGUAUUUUGUUAUUCUACUACCCUCCUUCUAAAUUCGAUAUAUGAGUAUUAAUUUACUUGUAUAUGGUUUUAGACGUUUACUGUGAGAAAAUUAGAGUGUUCAAAGCAGGCAUUUGCUUGAAUAUAUUAGCAUGGAAUAAUCAUGUAUGAUUUUCAUGAUGUAUUUGAUUGGUUUGGUUCAUGAGAAUAAGAUUAAAAGGGACAGUUGGGGGUAUUCAUAUUCAAUAGUCAGAGGUGAAAUUCUCGGAUUUAUGGAAGAUGAACAAG